This 253-nucleotide ribosomal RNA is filed under the name uncultured bacterium. RNAcentral describes it as "partial 16S ribosomal RNA". It matches the Rfam family "Bacterial small subunit ribosomal RNA", at positions 524 to 776 of the family's 1533-position model. The record is from RNAcentral.
UACGAAGGGGGCUAGCGUUGUUCGGAAUUACUGGGCGUAAAGGGCGCGCAGGCGGCCGCUCAAGUCAGAUGUGAAAGCCCCGGGCUCAACCUGGGAACUGCAUUUGAUACUGAGUGGCUAGGGUUCGGGAGAGGAGAGUGGAAUUCCCAGUGUAGAGGUGAAAUUCGUAGAUAUUGGGAAGAACACCGGUGGCGAAGGCGGCUCUCUGGACCGAUACUGACGCUGAGGCGCGAAAGCGUGGGGAGCAAACAGG